GGGUAACUGCAAUACCCUGUCCACAGAUCUAUCUCUGUCUACUAUGAGGAGCCUGGGAGACCCUGAACAUCAUGGCUAUAUAAAGAAGAAUAAAAAUGAAAAUCAUACCAGGCCCCAGAAUGUCGAAGACUAAGGCCAAUGACCAAUGACCAGAGUUUGACACGUGACGGAGUGAGCAGAGGGAGCACUGAGGCAAGCUAAACAGCAUACAGAGGCGACUUUCACAAUAAGAUAACAGAGUAAGAAACGCAAUUGACAAUGGGAACCCAUGGAUCUAACCUCAGCUUCUUACUCCCAGGUAUGUGGUCUAUGUAAGAAUAUGUUUUCGAUAUAGUCGAGAAAAACUGUUCUUUCUUUACAG
RNAcentral lists this long non-coding RNA (361 nucleotides) under Chinchilla lanigera (long-tailed chinchilla). Its description in RNAcentral is "lncRNA (ENSCLAG00000028549.1)". Lineage: Eukaryota; Metazoa; Chordata; Mammalia; Rodentia; Chinchillidae. The record is from RNAcentral.